RNAcentral lists this non-coding RNA (117 nucleotides) under Nomascus leucogenys (northern white-cheeked gibbon). Lineage: Eukaryota; Metazoa; Chordata; Mammalia; Primates; Hylobatidae. The record is from Rfam by way of RNAcentral.
GCCAGGCGUGGUGGCUCACGCCUGUAAUUCCAGCAAAUUGGGAGGCUGAGGCAGGUGGAUCACUUGAGGUCAGGAGUACGAGAGCAGCCUGGCCAACAUAGUGAAACCCUGUCUCUA